Molecule: ribosomal RNA, 914 nt
Filed under: Cadophora gregata
Lineage: Eukaryota; Fungi; Ascomycota; Leotiomycetes; Helotiales; Ploettnerulaceae
Description: LSU rRNA
Rfam family: Eukaryotic large subunit ribosomal RNA
Source: RNAcentral
GCAUAUCAAUAAGCGGAGGAAAAAGAAACCAACAGGGAUUACCUCAGUAACGGCGAAGUGAAGCGGUAACAGCUCAAAUUUGAAAGCUAGCUCUAUUAGGGUUCGCAUUGUAAUUUGUAGAAGAUGCUUCGGGUGUGGCCCCGGUCUAAGUUCCUUGGAACAGGACGUCAUAGAGGGUGAGAAUCCCGUAUGUGACUGGGUGCUUUCGCUCAUGUGAAGCUCUUUCGACGAGUCGAGUUGUUUGGGAAUGCAGCUCAAAAUGGGUGGUAAAUUUCAUCUAAAGCUAAAUAUUGGCCAGAGACCGAUAGCGCACAAGUAGAGUGAUCGAAAGAUGAAAAGCACUUUGGAAAGAGAGUUAAACAGUACGUGAAAUUGUUGAAAGGGAAGCGCUUGCAACCAGACUUGCGCGCUGAUGAUCAUCCGGGCUUCUGCCCGGUGCACUCGUCUGCGCUCAGGCCAGCAUCGGUUUCGGUGGUGGGAUAAAGGCCUUGGGAAUGUGGCUCCUCUCGGGGAGUGUUAUAGCCCUCGGUGCAAUGCCGCCUACCGGGACCGAGGACCGCGCUUCGGCUAGGAUGCUGGCGUAAUGGUUGUAAGCGACCCGUCUUGAAACACGGACCAAGGAGUCUAACAUCUAUGCGAGUGUUUGGGUGUCAAACCCAUACGCGUAAUGAAAGUGAACGGAGGUGAGAACCCUUAAGGGUGCAUCAUCGACCGAUCCUGAUGUCUUCGGAUGGAUUUGAGUAAGAGCAUAGCUGUUGGGACCCGAAAGAUGGUGAACUAUGCGUGAAUAGGGUGAAGCCAGAGGAAACUCUGGUGGAGGCUCGCAGCGGUUUCUGACGUGCAAAUCGAUCGUCAAAUUUGCGUAAUAGGGGCGAAAGACUAAUCGAACCAUCUAGUAGCUGGGUUCCUGCCGA